AAGAGAAGAGCUUAUCAGCAAGCCAUAGAUGACUUGCAUGGUGUAAUUAAGUAGAGCUCUAACUUAUAAUUUAAACCAGGCAAGUCAUCCUUGGCUACCAAAUAAGGCUCUUAUCU
Non-coding RNA from Spinacia oleracea (spinach), 116 nucleotides. Lineage: Eukaryota; Viridiplantae; Streptophyta; Magnoliopsida; Caryophyllales; Amaranthaceae. The record is from Rfam.